Molecule: ribosomal RNA, 216 nt
Filed under: uncultured bacterium
Lineage: Bacteria
Description: partial 16S ribosomal RNA
Rfam family: Bacterial small subunit ribosomal RNA
Source: RNAcentral
GUCCCAGUUCGGAUUGUAGUCUGCAACCCGACUACAUGAAGCUGGAAUCGCUAGUAAUCGCGAAUCAGAAUGUCGCGGUGAAUACGUUCCCGGGUCUUGUACACACCGCCCGUCACACCAUGGGAGUCGGAAAUGCCCGAAGUCAGUGACCCAACCGAAAGGAGGGAGCUGCCGAAGGUGGAGCCGGUAACUGGGGUGAAGUCGUAACAAGGUAGC